RNAcentral lists this ribosomal RNA (556 nucleotides) under Debaryomyces sp. S633Y25. RNAcentral describes it as "eukaryotic LSU rRNA". It matches the Rfam family "Eukaryotic large subunit ribosomal RNA", at positions 85 to 657 of the family's 3401-position model. Lineage: Eukaryota; Fungi; Ascomycota; Pichiomycetes; Serinales; Debaryomycetaceae. The record is from RNAcentral.
UACGGCGAGUGAAGCGGCAAAAGCUCAAAUUUGAAAUCUGGCACCUUCGGUGUCCGAGUUGUAAUUUGAAGAAGGUAACUUUGGAGUUGGCUCUUGUCUAUGUUCCUUGGAACAGGACGUCACAGAGGGUGAGAAUCCCGUGCGAUGAGAUGCCCAAUUCUAUGUAAAGUGCUUUCGAAGAGUCGAGUUGUUUGGGAAUGCAGCUCUAAGUGGGUGGUAAAUUCCAUCUAAAGCUAAAUAUUGGCGAGAGACCGAUAGCGAACAAGUACAGUGAUGGAAAGAUGAAAAGAACUUUGAAAAGAGAGUGAAAAAGUACGUGAAAUUGUUGAAAGGGAAGGGCUUGAGAUCAGACUUGGUAUUUUGCGAUCCUUUCCUUCUUGGUUGGGUUCCUCGCAGCUUACUGGGCCAGCAUCGGUUUGGAUGGUAGGAUAAUGACUAAGGAAUGUGGCUCUACUUCGGUGGAGUGUUAUAGCCUUGGUUGAUACUGCCUGUCUAGACCGAGGACUGCGUCUUUGACUAGGAUGUUGGCAUAAUGAUCUUAAGCCACCCGUCUUGA